UAGGGAAUCUUCGGCAAUGGACGAAAGUCUGACCGAGCAACGCCGCGUGAGUGAAGAAGGUUUUCGGAUCGUAAAACUCUGUUGUUAGAGAAGAACAAGGACGUUAGUAACUGAACGUCCCCUGACGGUAUCUAACCAGAAAGCCACGGCUAACUACGUGCCAGCAGCCGCGGUAAUACGUAGGUGGCAAGCGUUGUCCGGAUUUAUUGGGCGUAAAGCGAGCGCAGGCGGUUUCUUAAGUCUGAUGUGAAAGCCCCCGGCUCAACCGGGGAGGGUCAUUGGAAACUGGGAGACAUGAGUGCAGAAGAGGAGAGUGGAAUUCCAUGUGUAGCGGUGAAAUGCGUAGAUAUAUGGAGGAACACCAGUGGCGAAGGCGGCUCUCUGGUCUGUAACUGACGCUGAGGCUCGAAAGCGUGGGGAGCAAACAGG
Molecule: ribosomal RNA, 429 nt
Filed under: Gemmatimonadota bacterium
Lineage: Bacteria; Pseudomonadati; Gemmatimonadota
Description: Gemmatimonadetes bacterium partial 16S ribosomal RNA
Rfam family: Bacterial small subunit ribosomal RNA
Source: RNAcentral